Molecule: ribosomal RNA, 497 nt
Filed under: uncultured bacterium
Lineage: Bacteria
Description: partial 16S ribosomal RNA
Rfam family: Bacterial small subunit ribosomal RNA
Source: RNAcentral
GACGAACGCUGGCGGCGUGCCUAAUACAUGCAAGUUGAGCGAUGAAGAUUGGUGCUUGCACCAAUUUGAAGAGCAGCGAACGGGUGAGUAACGCGUGGGGAAUCUGCCUUUGAGCGGGGGACAACAUUUGGAAACGAAUGCUAAUACCGCAUAACAACUUUAAACAUAAGUUUUAAGUUUGAAAGAUGCAAUUGCAUCACUCAAAGAUGAUCCCGCGUUGUAUUAGCUAGUUGGUGAGGUAAAGGCUCACCAAGGCGAUGAUACAUAGCCGACCUGAGAGGGUGAUCGGCCACAUUGGGACUGAGACACGGCCCAAACUCCUACGGGAGGCAGCAGUAGGGAAUCUUCGGCAAUAGACGAAAGUCUGACCGAGCAACGCCGCGUGAGUGAAGAAGGUUUUCGGAUCGUAAAACUCGGUUGGUAGAGAAGAACGUUGGUGAGAGUGGAAAGCUCAUCAAGUGACGGUAACUACCCAGAAAGGGACGGCUAGCUACGUG